RNAcentral lists this long non-coding RNA (2249 nucleotides) under Malus domestica (apple). RNAcentral's name for it is "long non-coding RNA (MDOM_LNC018043)". The record is from RNAcentral. Lineage: Eukaryota; Viridiplantae; Streptophyta; Magnoliopsida; Rosales; Rosaceae.
GAAUGCAACAUUUUCAUUUGGUUUUUGUAUCCAUAGAAUUGUUUUAAAUGGAGCUAAAUGAAAUGAAAAUCCAAUUCUCAUUAAAAGAUACAAAACUAUUUUGUUCUCAACUAAUUUGGGCCGAAAAACAAUAACCUCAACCAUUGGGCUAUAUUGCAAAACAUAAACUUUUGAGGUCACUUUGUAAAAACACAAAAGUCCACUACUUCAUGUAAUUACAACUAGAACCCAAAAAUUUCAUCGAAUACAAAAACUUCAUUAAAGGAGCAAAACAAUUUGUCCUUUAGUGAACGUAAACUUUUGGGUCAAAGUACAAAUACACAAAAGUAUCAAAACUUUAUGUAAUUGCAUAAAAACCUCAAAAGUACCCUACUUUUAGGGUGGCCGGUUUUGGUAGUGUGAUGGAGUGGUUUUUUAAUAAAAAACAAAGUCAUAAAGUCAUGCAAGUUGAAAAUGAUGAGUGAUGGGUUGGUGUGAAAAAGUAGGUAUAGGUGUGUAAGAAAAAAAUACCAAUCAUGUACAAAAAAUUCAAACACUCUAUCAACAUUUCAAUCACCUUUUCAUCUAAAUGUCUUGUUGAUAGAAAAGUCACACCAACCAACACAAAACAAAGACUUUAUGUAAUCAACAAAAAACUUUGAAUAAAAAACACCAAACUUUUUGUUCUUGGUUAGAACAUCAAGAACAUUGAAGAACACACAUGAAAACUCAUAAGAGCUUCAUGAAUGUUUUCACUCAAUAAAAUUCAAAAUUUCACUACUUAAAAGGGGGUUAACAUCCUAGGGUACUUCAGGGUUCCAAAAGUCACCUUAAAACACUUUUAACAAGACAAACAACAACCCAAAAAUCCACCCUUUGGAUUUGGCCGAAUUUCCCUAAAAACAUGGCACCAAAUUUUAGCUCCAAAAUUCAUGCUCAUAUGAACUACAACUACAACAUUUGAGAUGGAAAAUUUUCUAACAAAAUUUACAUUCAAAGAAGCAAGAAUAAAGCUCGUAACAAUUACAACAUUCAAAUCAAAGACUAUGAACUACAAAACCCAAAAGGAUUCACCAACUACUAGACCUAGGCUCUUGAUACCACUUGAAGGAGAUUUUGUGAAAAACAUGUUCAUUUGAGCAACAUCUAUGGCAUGCAAUUAAUAUUUAAAGGCGGAAUCAUGCUUGUAUGCACUCAAAACAAACAUUACCCAUGAAAUUCAAAGCCUAGUAGAAAGGUGAACCAAGACUCAACUCAAGAACAAAGUGAGUUGAGAGAUUUUAUACCUUUGUUGAUUCCUUUUUGCAUAAGCAAAGGCUAAUCACCCAAGGAGAGGGCCUUCAUUCCUUGCUUCUUAGUUCCAUCGAUUUCUUGGAGGAGGAUGGUAGAAAGGAUUCUCCAAGUUCCUAAAAUUGAGAACCUCUAAUUUUUCCACACCAAGGAGUGACUUGAAGAAGAGAUGAGUGACCUUGGAGGAUGAGAGAUUGAUAGCUAAUCUCCUCCAAGGGGGCCGGCCUCCUAGAGAGAAAGGGAGAGACAUGUUCAGAGACAUGUUCUCUCCAAUUUUUCUCCAAAAGAAACCCUAAGGAUGAAAUGGCUAUAAAGUUGCCUUUAUACCACCUCAUAAUGAAGUGGCAAACUUGCAAUUAAAGGAAGUUCACUACCCUCCUCUAUUUGGCCGGCCUUAAGGGUUUAUUGGGCUUUCAAGCCCUUUGUUUAUUCAAGUUGUCAUACAACUUGAGUUAAUGGGCUUGACAUUUAAAUCCCAUUGGGCCUUACGGCCCAAAACUAACCCUAGGUCUAUAACAAACUUUUUGUUUCUUCAAUCUCUACCUUACACGGUGUACGAUCCAUUAGGUUCCUUUUAGCGAGGUAGUGGGCGAUUGUUACUCUUAACGUUCGAUUGUUAAUUGAAACUUACUUUCAAUUCUCCCUUUAGUGAUUAUACACAUUUAGGGCUUCCACAAACCAUGAGUGACACCUAGCAGUAUGUCAUGGUUACCCAAGCUAAUCAGAAGAGGUGGAAAACCUAUUCAGUUUAGGAUUACAAUGCAAUACGGUAUUUCUCUAAUACAAUACUCAUGACCACAUUGUUUGCUUUGAUAGUUUAUUCAUGUCUUCUAUCCAAUGUGAUUCUCUUACUUAUAUGAUUACCAUGAAUGUGAUUUGGAACGACUUCCUAAAUCUCAUUCAUACUCUGGCCAGAGAUUCUUAAUCAUAUCAUAGAGUAUUCUCCCUCAAAUGGUUUGAAGGUUAGAGAUCCCUUGUCG